This 200-nucleotide unclassified non-coding RNA is filed under the name soil metagenome. RNAcentral's name for it is "partial contains internal transcribed spacer 2 and large subunit ribosomal RNA". The record is from RNAcentral.
UGCCUGUUCGAGCGUCAUUAUGACCAAUCAAGCUUGGCUUGGUGUUGGGGUUCGCGGUCCCGCGGCCCUUAAAAUCAGUGGCGGUGCUAUUCGGCUCUAAGCGUAGUAAUCUUCUCGCUAUAGCGUCCGGGCAGUUUCCUCCAAAACUCCCCCAUCUCACGAUUGACCUCGGAUCAGGUAGGGAUACCCGCUGAACUUAA